RNAcentral lists this ribosomal RNA (715 nucleotides) under Globodera sp. CC3. RNAcentral's name for it is "eukaryotic LSU rRNA". It matches the Rfam family "Eukaryotic large subunit ribosomal RNA", at positions 358 to 909 of the family's 3401-position model. The record is from RNAcentral. Lineage: Eukaryota; Metazoa; Nematoda; Chromadorea; Rhabditida; Heteroderidae.
GGAAAGUUGCAAAGCACUUUGAAGAGAGAGUUAAAGAGGACGUGAAACCGAUGGGAUGGAAACGGACAGAGCUGGCGUAUCUGGUCUGCAUUCAUCCGUGUGUUCUUGGACGUUUGGAUUUCCACUCUCCAGACUGGGAUGGUGUUCAUUCUGUUCAGGGGCUCAUGGAGCAUUUGCAGGCGGAGUGCGCUGAGAUGCUCGGAGCAGCUGCAUGAGCUUGGCUUUGAGGCCAGCCCUUCGGGGUCUGGUACCCGGGCUGUGGGAGUGCUGUUUGUUCUGGGUGCUGAGUGUGUGCAAUGGCAACGGGUCCGUGUUGGUUUGAGCUGGCGGUCGGUGGCGGUCGCGUGCGACACGUGCCAGCAGUCAGUUCGGUCCUGCUCGGGCUCUCAUUGCAUGUUCUCGGUGUAAAAGCCGGUCAUCUGUCCGACCCGUCUUGAAACACGGACCAAGGAGUUUAGCGUGUGCGCGAGUCAUUGGGAGUUGAAAACCCAAGGGCGUAAUGAAAGUGAAGGUCUCCUUGCGGAGCUGAUGUGUGAUCUCGUGCACUCCGGUGUGCGGGCGCAACAUAGUCCCGUCCCGAUCGCAUGCGAUGGGGCGGAGACAGAGCGUACGCGCUGAGACCCGAAAGAUGGUGAACUAUUCCUGAGCAGGAUGAAGCCAGAGGAAACUCUGGUGGAAGUCCGAAGCGAUUCUGACGUGCAAAUCGAUCGUCUGA